CGGAAGUUCACAUCAACUUUAUCAGUCAGUGCAUUCACAGGCAAGGACAUGAAAUGAAUAAACUAGAAAGUGUACAGAUAAUGAAACAUGAGUUAACCUGGCUGUAUUUUUGUUGGAAUCAGAUAUUCACCUUGCCCAAGGAUACUUUGAUCUAUCCUGCUCAUGAUUAGAAGGGAUUCACUGUAUGGAGCCAUUUCUUACCUCUGUUAUAUAUCUGAUUUGUCCAGCUGAUCAUGCUAACCUUUGUGUGACGCACAGGUUAGUACUGUUGGAGAGGAAAUGCUGUACANNNNNNNNNNNNNNNNNNNNNNNNNNNNNNNNNNNNNNNNNNNNNNNNNNNNNNNNNNNNNNNNNNNNNNNNNNNNNNNNNNNNNNNNNNNNNNNNNNNNNNNNNNNNNNNNNNNNNNNNNNNNNNNNNNNNNNNNNNNNNNNNNNNNNNNNNNNNNNNNNNNNNNNNNNNNNNNNNNNNNUAGGCAACACCUAUCAAAAUACCUUCAAGACAAACCAACGUGUAACCUAAUGGAAUUGUGCGAUUUAGUCGGGCUUUUCUUUCUUUCCUUUUUGAUAUAUGUUAUAAAUGGCAGAAGUGACAACAUAAUACACGCUCAAAUUACAGGUUCUGUAAAAUGAACCUUAAUAUGGCAGAUUUCAUUAAUUGCAGUAACUCUUGUAUAUUUGAGAGUUUCUACAUAGAAUAAGUGCAAAGUGGAUGGCCUUAAGACAGUGCCAUACCUCAACCAUAAGUUAAUUUUAACCAUUCUAAUGCUUAACUUUCCAAGCUUACAAGCAAUACAUGCUUGCUGCCUAUCUUAAUCUUACUUGUAGGAUAAGUAUAAAAUAAACUAAUAUGAAGUUCUAUAAAGUGAAAAAUUAGUGAUGGUUGUACAAUAUUCUAUUGUGCUCAUCUGAGGUGUAUCUUUGGAAGAGUUUUCUUCUCUCCUUUGAAUAUUGUUUUGUGGCAUCAAGAUCAAUGUGUGAUAAUCAAAUCAAUAAUGAUAAGGUUAAGGAUGGAAGUUUAAAGCUAGCUAUUCUUAAAAUAGAACACAAAACCGAAUAGGAGCACAGAUAAAAUAAUAGAGGUUGCAUACACAGCUGAGUUUCGUGGUUAUGAUGAAUCAAAGAAUGAAGUAUUGGAAGCUAUUUGGAUGAUUUUUUAGUGCUCAUAAACUUGGUGACUUCAAGGAAAUAAUGUAGUUUAUAAAUUUUCUUUGGUUGCUGGGAUAAGGAAAGAUUGACUUGCAUCUUCUUUAACUCCAACUAUUAAUCCUAGAUUAUGAAAUUUCAUAUUUUCUAGUAUAAUUUUUUUUUUUGUUUUUUUUGGUAAGAAAUAUCAAGAGUUGGUUGCUUCAUCUAACUUCCAAGGAACCCCUUUCCUUUGCUGCUAAAAUUAUUUGCCACAAAUGACUGUUGAACCUUAAUCUAACAACAAUCUUUAUCGGCAGAAUAAAGAUAACACUACAAUCUUUAUAGCCUAAUGUUCUGCACACUUCUUUUUUCUCUUAAAACAAGUUACAAAUAUCCAAUUUUUGCUAAAUACCCAGUUCUUUUAUUUCAGCGUACAUAUGCAGAUUUAAAAUAUCCAGGAUAGGCUGACAGAAUUAAGACUCUGAAGAUUUUAGGAUAUUUGAGAUGAUUCGGCCAUUCUUCAAUUACUUUGCACAAAAAAGCUAUAUUACAAAAGCUAAUAACAUGAAUGGUACCUCCAGAAACAAAUCGCCGAAAUGUAUUUUAUCACCAGCUUGAAUGAGAAGAUCAGCUUUUGAAUUGCUAGCUUUUGAAAUAAUAGAUUUCACGCCAGGAAGCUUUGUCUGCAAAUUGAGCAUAAAAACUGAUGAAACAUUUGCGUUUAUAAAUGUAAUUUGCAAAUUAAAUGCAGCCAAACCUUUAUCAAUCCAGUUCCCGUCACAUGAUCAGCAUGCACAUGAGUAUUUAUAGCAUAAAUUUGCUUUAACCCUAACUCUUUUACAAGGGAGAGGUCUCUGUCCACUGUUUUAUCAACUGGAUCAAUCAACUGCACAGAAAAGGUAAUCACACUCACAUAUAUAUAUAUAUAUAUAUCACAAGAAUAAAGAAAAAUUGAUGAUAAAAAAAAGAAAAACAGAAAACUAGAGCAGGUUUAUCAGGGUGAGCAACAUCAGCCAGCAAAUAGGUAUAAGUAGAGGACUCCUUCUCGAAAAGCUGGCGAAACAAGAGCUUGCUUGAGAGCCCAGAAGACGACGCCGCAUAAUUGCUCAUUGUGCAGAAUCUGGGCACUGCGUAUUACGACUUUGAAAAGGAUCAUGACAUCGAAAGAGAAAGUCGAAGUAUAUUUAAACGAAGCAUUGUUGUUAUGAUAUUCAAUUUGAUGGUGAAAAUCGGGCAGCACUUAGCUAAAUUGUGCUAUUAUUGAAAGUGAUUCGAUGUUAAACCUAUCGCCCGUGCCUCCACUCUUUUAUCUUCCUUAAGGGACAAAGACAAAAACGUUCAGGCCAACUUCAAGCAAUUUAUUUGUAUUAAAUUACUUGAAGUUCUCAGCAGAUUAAUGUGCAAAAAACAAUAUUGACACUGAAAAAUUUUUUCUCACUAAAUGAGAUUAAAUUUAAAAAUUUUAAAGCCUUAUAUAUUUAUUUAAAUAAUAUUUUAAAAAAAAUUAAAUUCUCAAAUGUCUAAUUAUCUUAUAUGUAAUUUUUAAAAAGUAUUUUUAAAAAAUUACGUAUUAUUAAAUCAUAAAAAUUUAAAUGAAAUUCAAUAAAUUUCAAAAUAAUAGAAUAAAAUAUCAAAUAAAAAGAGAGAAAUAUGUCUAAAUAACCAUUUUUUCUUUAAUUCAAACUUUAGCAUUGUAUAGCGAAUUAUGAAUUUGUUGGUUUGAACUAGAUUUUUUAUAUUGGAGGAGAGAAAAACCAGCAAUCAAAAGUUUGUGUAAUUAUGAAAUUAAUUAUUAAAAUUAGAAUUAUAAAAAUUUUUAAAAUAUAAUAAUGUAUAAAUAAUCCAAAUACGUGAAAAUCAUAGAAAAUAAUAUAUUUAAAAAAUUUUAUUUUAAUUUCAUUUUAUUUAACUAAAAGACUCUAAUAGUAAUUAUUUACCAUAUUUUAAAAAAUUCAAAAUAAAUUAGAAGAAUUUAAAUUUUAUUUUUAAUACUUAAAUUAAGAUUUCCAAUUUACCCACAAAACUAAGCCCCUAGAAAUGAUCAAAACCCCGUUUUUUACAACAAAACGCACCGUUUUGAUUUAGUCUAAAAUCCCUAAUUUCAUCUCUCCCCUUUUUCUUCUCCAUCUUGUUCCUUCUCGAUAAUAACUUGUAUGCAGUCACCAAAUCCCUAUUCUCAUCGUCCCUUCUUAUUGAUCUUGGCCAUUUCUCACAACUUCCUCUCAUGAUAUCUAUUUUCCUAGCCUACUUCAAUUUAUGAUGUUUUAAGCUAUUGAAUCGAUUAUGAAGAAAUGUGAUUGUUGAAUUAUUGAUUCCUUCUUGAAAUAGAUUGCAUUUACAGGAGUUGUUUAUCCAUGCUUGGUUCUUGCUUAUAUGGGUGGAGAUGCUUAUCUUUCCAAGCAGAAAGACGAUCUUCAAAGAAGUUUUUACAAUGCUAUACCAGUUAAGUACUAAAGAAUUGAUAUAUAGUAGUUGAGUUAUCCAUUUGGUGCUUUCUCUUAUAUUUCUUCCUUCUUCUUUACUUCUUUUCGAGGUCAUAUUUUGGCCAGUAUACUUUUAACUAUCAAAAUUUUAAAAUAUGAUCGCUUAGUGACUCAUGUAAAAUCCAGAUUGUAAAUGAGGGUAGGAUAUGCUUACAGAGGAUCCAAUGUUGACUCAACCAGUUUUGGGUAGGUCGUAUAAUGUGUAUAGAUAUCAAUAGAAUGAGUAGGGAUAAUUAGUUAAUAUCUGGCACCAUCCAUAAGGGUAUACAAUCAUACCUAACAGAUAAGAUAGAUACCAUGGGCUAAUGUUCAGCAUACCCUAAUGUAAUGUUGAAAAUAUUAUGACCAUCCAGGCUAUUCAUACCCAAAUAUAUUGAUGCAUGGGUGUAGAUUUAUCGUAGCCAUGGAAAAUUUUUCAGGUGAAUAUCAUAACUUCCACCUGGCCCAUGGGACAUUGAAAUACGGGUUAUUAUAUCCAAUUGGUUGGAUAUGAUAAUUAUGUCAUCAACCAUACGGGUCAUACGACUAAUUGGUAUAUACAUACCCUUAGAUAAUAAGAUUCAUUCUUAUCCAAUUUAUUCAUAGAUAAUUGGAUAUAAUAACCCAUAUACAUCAANNNNNNNNNNNNNNNNNNNNNNNNNNNNNNNNNNNNNNNNNNNNNNNNNNNNNNNNNNNNNNNNNNNNNNNNNNNNNNNNNNAUCUAGGAUAGGUAUACCUAGAAUAUACCUAUAAGUAUGAUAUCACCAGUGAUUCUGCUGAGCUCAACCAGUAUUGAUAUAUCCAGGUACCAUAAGCGUAAUGGCUAUGUGUAUCAUACUAUUUCAUAUCAUAAUGGUUGGGUACGCAUAUUAGUUGGGGUGAUUAUAUGAAUGAUCAUCCUAAUAAGAUAGGGCGUAUAAUACUUAGUGGCCGGUUAAUAAUGGGGUAGUGACCUAUUAUUGGACAAUCCAGAUUGUCCUAGUAUCUACGUGUUUGAUUUGUCAUGUAUGAUCAUUGACCAUUGAAGUAGUGGAUCAAUGUCAUUUCUAUCUAAAUUAUACCUUUCUAAAAUUAUAGCUAUAGUCAAUAUUUUAUCAUCCAGUAUACCAAGUUAAUAUCAAGUCAGUUAAUGAUCAUAUAAUUAUCAUACCAAUGAUGUCUAGGGGCAAAUAUCCAUCCCUACUCACUCAAAAUAUAUAAUAUUGCUUAUAAGCUCAUUGUAUUCAGAUCAUGAUACAAAUUUUGUAGAUUAUAUCCUGCGUCUAUGUUCGUGCUUAUCAAUAUAGGAACAAUUUUGAUUUAGAUUGUACAAAGUUUGCGAUGCAUCAGAUUGUAAGUAAACACUAUCGGAUACAACUGUGGAUAGGUUUAGUCAAUACAUGCUUGGGUCAUUUGUCGAUUAAGUAUUAUAGAUGCAAGCAUCAUGUUCCUAAGUGGUUGUAUUAAUUAUGCUAAUAUAUGCCUAACUUGAUACCAUAUGUGUGUCCAUCUUAGCUAUUAGAAGAGAUCAGUUUUGACCAACUAAGUGUUUAGCUAGGUUAUAUCUAGUAAAUCAUUCUAAUGUAAAUGCAUAUGUCAUUUAUGGGGCAUCAUUGGAUUUGACCCUUAUUAAUAUCUAUAUAUAGGUACCUUGGACACAUCAUUGGACAUGAUGGAUCAAGUUAUAAUUCCCAAAUGUCAUGGAUAUGGGCAAUGCAUAUCUGCUAACCUUGAUUAAAUAUGCCCCAAUUCCAUCCUAGUAAUGGAAUUGAUGUGGCUAUAUUUCACUGGAUAUGCAUUCGACACUAUAUAGGUAGAAACAAUGCAUUUAAUUCAUACAUGAUAUAGAGCAAUAUGUAAAGGUACAAUAGUCUUAAUAAUCAUCUAUGCCAGCUGAUAUGAGUCCCUACUAUUAACCACAAUAUCAAUUAUUAGCACAAUCUAUUUUAUUCCUUAACCAGUGGUACUUUAUCAAUAUGGUUAUUCCUAUGCAUAUGUAUACAAUAAACUUCAUUCCUAUCUCAUGAUUAACUAAUGAAUAUUCCAAAUGGAAGAUUAACCAUCUUAAUGUAUACAUGUAUUUAAUGAUCAUUUAGGAAUAUUCCAGACCUAGUACCACACAUAGGAGUACCAACUAAAAAUUCCAUAUGCCUGUGGGUAUGCUUAUCACACUCAACCAGACUGGUAGUCUUUUUUAUGUCACCAAUAUGAGUUCUAAUUAUUUGGGUACCAACUUUCAGUUAGUUUAGCUCAAUGACUCCAAAUUAUAGACAUAUCAACCUUAACUAGGUCCAGUCAAGGACAUGAAAUGAAUAAACUAGAAAGUGUACAGAUAAUGAAACAUGAGUUAACCUGGCUGUAUUUUUGUUGGAAUCAGAUAUUCACCUUGCCCAAGGAUACUUUGAUCUAUCCUGCUCAUGAUUAGAAGGGAUUCACUGUAUGGAGCCAUUUCUUACCUCUGUUAUAUAUCUGAUUUGUCCAGCUGAUCAUGCUAACCUUUGUG
Molecule: long non-coding RNA, 6069 nt
Filed under: Jatropha curcas
Lineage: Eukaryota; Viridiplantae; Streptophyta; Magnoliopsida; Malpighiales; Euphorbiaceae
Description: long non-coding RNA (JCUR_LNC002324)
Source: RNAcentral